AUUGAACGCUGGCGGAAUGCUUUACACAUGCAAGUCGAACGGUAGAGGGGGAAACCCCUUGAGAGUGGCGAACGGGUGAGUAAUAUAUCGGAACGUGCCCAGUCGUGGGGGAUAACGUAGCGAAAGUUACGCUAAUACCGCAUACGAUCUAAGGAUGAAAGCGGGGGAUCGCAAGACCUCGCGCGACUGGAGCGGCCGAUAUCAGAUUAGGUAGUUGGUAGGGUAAAGGCCUACCAAGCCAACGAUCUGUAGCUGGUCUGAGAGGACGACCAGCCACACUGGAACUGAGACACGGUCCAGACUCCUACGGGAGGCAGCAGUGGGGAAUUUUGGACAAAGGGCGAAAGCCUGAUCCAGCCAUUCCGCGUGCAGGAUGAAGGCCCUCGGGUUGUAAACUGCUUUUGUACAGAACGAAAAGGUUUCUAUUAAUACUAGGAGCUCAUGACGGUACUGUAAGAAUAAGCACCGGCUAACUACGUG
Molecule: ribosomal RNA, 480 nt
Filed under: uncultured bacterium
Lineage: Bacteria
Description: partial 16S ribosomal RNA
Rfam family: Bacterial small subunit ribosomal RNA
Source: RNAcentral